RNAcentral lists this ribosomal RNA (402 nucleotides) under uncultured bacterium. Its description in RNAcentral is "bacterial SSU rRNA". It matches the Rfam family "Bacterial small subunit ribosomal RNA", at positions 355 to 750 of the family's 1533-position model. The record is from RNAcentral.
GUAAGAAUAUUCCGCAAUGGACGAAAGUCUGACGGAGCGACGCCGCGUGGAUGAAGAAGGCCGGAAGGUUGUAAAAUCCUUUUGCUGAUGAAGAAUAAGUAUGGUAGGGAAUGACCGUAUGAUGACAUUAGUCGGUGAAUAAGCCCCGGCUAACUACGUGCCAGCAGCCGCGGUAACACGUAGGGGGCAAGCGUUGUUCGGAAUUAUUGGGCGUAAAGGGCAUGUAGGCGGUUUGGUAAGCCUGGUGUGAAAUCCUGCAGCUUAACUGUAGAAUUGCAUUGGGUACUGCCAGACUUGAAUCACAGAGGGGAAACUAGAAUUCCAGGUGUAGGGUGGAAUCUGUAGAUAUCUGGAAGAAUACCGGUGGCGAAGGCGGGUUUCUGGCUGAUGAUUGACGCUGAG